CCUACGGGUGGCUGCAGUGAGGAAUAUUGGUCAAUGGGCGAGAGCCUGAACCAGCCAAGUCGCGUGAAGGAUGAAGGAUCUAUGGUUUGUAAACUUCUUUUAUAUGGGAAUAAAGUGAGGAACGUGUUCCUUUUUGUAUGUACCAUAUGAAUAAGCAUCGGCUAACUCCGUGCCAGCAGCCGCGGUAAUACGGAGGAUGCGAGCGUUAUCCGGAUUUAUUGGGUUUAAAGGGUGCGCAGGCGGUCUGUUAAGUCAGCGGUCAAAGCCCGGGGCUCAACCCCGGCCCGCCGUUGAAACUGGCAGUCUCGAGUUGGAGAGAAGUAUGCGGAAUGCGCGGUGUAGCGGUGAAAUGCAUAGAUAUCGCGCAGAACUCCGAUUGCGAAGGCAGCAUGCCGGCUCCACACUGACGCUGAGGCACGAAAGCGUGGGUAUCGAACAGGAUUAGAUACCCUUGUAGUC
Molecule: ribosomal RNA, 459 nt
Filed under: uncultured bacterium
Lineage: Bacteria
Description: partial 16S ribosomal RNA
Rfam family: Bacterial small subunit ribosomal RNA
Source: RNAcentral